RNAcentral lists this long non-coding RNA (927 nucleotides) under Marmota monax (woodchuck). The record is from RNAcentral. Lineage: Eukaryota; Metazoa; Chordata; Mammalia; Rodentia; Sciuridae.
GGAAAGCUGGAGGGGUUGAAGUUAGGUGUUCCCCUGCCUCCAUAUUGCUUAGGCCCUACUUAAGUCCUUGCCCUUGAAAUCAGGCAGAGCACAGAAAUACUCUGAGUUCAUUUCAUAAGGGUCUUCAACAUGGGAUUUGAUGUGUGGGAAAUGGAAAGUCCAGUGUUCCAUUUUCAGAAUACAGUAUUUAGCUUUAAAUGUAAAAUGACUUGGGAUGAAAGAAAGGCAGCUGGCUGGGAGACUAAAGUGAAAAGAUUGAAGCAGUUAAUACUGGAGUGUAAAAUGUCACAGCCGCUUGACAGGAAGUGAGAAGGAAGGGGCCACCUGACCCACAGAAACAAACUGUGCACAAGCCCAAAGGCACUCAGUCCAAGGAGACUUUUCUGCCUCAAUAGAACAAAGGGACGUGGGUACAACUAAAGGUACAUUUCUUUAAAUAACCCAUUAGGAGAUGGUAAACUCUAGGCAAUGUCUGGAAAGAUUAUGUACCCCAUAGUACUUAGCCAAAGAGGAACUGGGAAAAGGAUCUUGUCCUCUGAGGGAUAAAACUCUGGUUUACCCAACUGUGUUUCCCUGACCACCAGCACCCGAUGUUUCAAGACAGUCAUUAAAGUAAAGCCUCGAUUUUUACUGUUCCUUGUUUCCUAGUCCAUUUUUUGGGCUUGGACAGGUAAGCGUGUUUCUUACAACUGGCAUCCUGGACAUUGACCUCACAACAGUCCCUCUUCAGACUUGAGAACUCUGCAGGAGUUCUUAACCCACAACUAGGCCACUCUCAGGCCCAGGGCUUCAUCUAUGACAGUGUCGGUGUUCCUUCCACAUUGGGCUCCAUGGGCUUCUGUUUCAGAUAAGCUGUGACUCCCUCUUCUUCUCUGUCUCUCCAGCAUUCAGAGGACCUUCUUUCUGUGUGAUAAUUUUCUGAUGGAC